UACAGAGGCCUCAAGCGUUGUUCGGAUUCAUUGGGCGUAAAGGGUGCGUAGGUGGCGCCAUAAGUCAGGUGUGAAAUCUCGGGGCUCAACCCCGAAACUGCACUUGAUACUGUGGUGCUCGAGUACUGGAGAGGAGAUUGGAAUUUACGGUGUAGCAGUGAAAUGCGUAGAUAUCGUAAGGAAGACCAGUGGCGAAGGCGAAUCUCUGGACAGUUACUGACACUGAGGCACGAAGGCCAGGGGAGCAAACGGG
This 253-nucleotide ribosomal RNA is filed under the name uncultured bacterium. RNAcentral's name for it is "partial 16S ribosomal RNA". It matches the Rfam family "Bacterial small subunit ribosomal RNA", at positions 524 to 776 of the family's 1533-position model. The record is from RNAcentral.